Molecule: long non-coding RNA, 1084 nt
Filed under: Lotus japonicus
Lineage: Eukaryota; Viridiplantae; Streptophyta; Magnoliopsida; Fabales; Fabaceae
Description: long non-coding RNA (LJAP_LNC001591)
Source: RNAcentral
UUUGAGGUUAAUUUUGUGUUCAGAUUCGACGGCGAGUGAAUCGUUUGGUGGUCGUAGGAUUACUGAAAGCAACCGUGGUUAUUCUUAAUAGUUGUGAGUGGUUUUCCAUCAUCGUGACAUAUUUUAUUUACUCUAUAACUACUGUUUUAAUUAUUUAAUAUAUUAAUUAUUCAUUGAAAUUGGGGAAACAUGUUUUUGUUAAUUUGAUUGGCUUUAAGUUGAUUUGUGUUUUAUUAAGUUGACUGUGAGCAAGUUUAAUGAUUUAAAUUGAGAAGAACAUUUAUAGUGAGUUGAGUUUGAAUUAUGUGAAAUUUAGACUUAUUUUGAAAAGCUUUGAUGGGCAUUGGAAAGCUGGUUUUGAGACUGUUGACAAGACUUGUACUGGUUUGAGAAAACGGUUUUGGUGAUCCUUGAUAGACCCCCGUAGCCGUUAACGGAGGUAACGGCCUAGGUGCACCUAGCUAGUUUGAUUCCGGGAGGAGAGGGCUAUAUGUUAGAUGGAGCCACCAAUGCACGGAGAGGGCUAUCAACGAGAUGUAGCUUCCCCGGAUUAUAUGAUACGAUGUGACAUGUGAUAUGAGAGAGGAAAGGGCUAUCCGUUAGAUGGAGCCGCCCUUAUCGGAGAAUUCAUCCCUUAGGAGGAGAGGGCUAUCAACGAGAUGGAGCCGCCUUACGGUUCUACAUGUGUGACCCUAUUAAAUUGUAUUUCUGAUUUUGAAAUGCUUUCAUAUGAUUGACAUGAUUUUUAUUCAGUUUCAUUGAAACAGUUAUUUAUAAACUUGGCAGUUUGAUCAUCUCUUAUUUGAAAUGGUUCUUAUUAAUUUUAUUAAUAUUAUACGUAUUAUCCACUCUGAUCUGAUAGUGAAAAACUCAUCCUUCAUAUGUUUCCCCUUUCCUGUUCAUGGUGGUUGUUAAAUCCUCACUAAGUCUUUGUGACUUACCCCAUUCAUUAUUUUCCCUCCACAGAUUCACAGACAACUAAGUAGUAAGCCGGUAUCAGAUUCAGAUCAUUCAAUUUAUCUUGUUGGUAGGCCUCCUUUGGUUGGUGGCUCAAUUGGUGCCUUGUAUUUGAUUCUAGUUAUCU